Molecule: ribosomal RNA, 2937 nt
Filed under: Fusobacterium hwasookii ChDC F174
Lineage: Bacteria; Fusobacteriati; Fusobacteriota; Fusobacteriia; Fusobacteriales; Fusobacteriaceae
Description: bacterial LSU rRNA
Rfam family: Bacterial large subunit ribosomal RNA
Source: RNAcentral
AAAUAGAUUAAAAUAAUUAAAGGCACACAAAGGAUGCCUUGGUAUUAAGAGCCGAUGAAGGACGUGGUAAGCUGCGAUAAGCCUAGAUAAGUUGCAAUCGAACGUAAGAGUCUAGGAUUUCCGAAUGGAGCAAUCUAUUAAGAUGGAGUCUUAAUACGAAAGAGGGAACCGCGUGAACUGAAACAUCUAAGUAACGCGAGGAAAAGAAAGUAAAAACGAUACCCGAAGUAGCGGCGAGCGAAACGGGUCAAGCCUAAACCUUAAAUAUGUCAAGGAUACAGCCGUUGUAUUUAAGGGGUUGAGGGACAGAGUGAUGAAGAACUGUAAGAUAUUCAAUAUAGUGUAUUGAUGAACUAGAGUAGUCUGGAAAGGUUAACCGUAGAAGGUGAAAUUCCUGUAUAGGUAAAUCCUUACACAUAUAACUUUGAUCCCAAGUAACAUGGAACACGAGGAAUUCUGUGUGUAUCAGUGAGGACCAUAUCUCAUAAGGCUAAAUACUCUUACUAACCGAUAGCGCAUAGUACCGUGAGGUAAAGGUGAAAAGAACCCCUGGAGGGGAGUGAAAUAGAACCUGAAAUUGUGUGCUUACAAGCGGUCAGAGCCAGUAAUGGUGAUGGCGUGCCUUUUGGAGAAUGAUCCUGCGAGUUACGUUAAACGGCGAGGUUAAGUAUUACGGAGCCGAAGGGAAACCAAGUCUUAAUAGGGCGAUUUAGUCGUUUGGCGUAGACGCGAAACCUGGUGAUCUAAACCUGUCCAGGAUGAAGCUGUGGUAAGACACAGUGGAGGUCCUAACCCACCGCCGUUGAAAAGUUGGGGGAUGAGGUAGGUUUAGGGGUGAAAAGCCAAUCGAACCAGGAGAUAGCUCGUUCUCUCCGAAAUGCAUCUAGGUGCAGCCUUGAGUGUUCAAUUAUGGGGGUAGAGCACUGAAUGAUCUAGGGGGCAUAUUGCUUACUGAAAUCAAUCAAACUCCGAAUACCAUGAUUUAUAGCUCAGGAGUGAGACUAUGGGAGUUAACUUCCAUUGUCAAAAGGGAAACAACCCAGACCACCAGCUAAGGUCCCUAAUUAUAACUAAGUGGGAAAGGAGGUGGAGAUUCACAAACAACUAGGAGGUUGGCUUAGAAGCAGCCAUACCUUUAAAGAGUGCGUAAUAGCUCACUAGUCGAGAGUCUCUGCGCCGACAAUGUAACGGGGCUAAGUUAUAAACCGAAGCUGUGGAAUCCGUAAGGAUUGGUAGGAGAGCGUUCUGUAGGCCGUUGAAGGAGAAGGGUAACCGACUUUGGAGGUAUCAGAAGUGAGAAUGCAGGAAUAAGUAGCGAGAAAGGGGGCGAGAAUCCCCCUCGCCGGAAGACCAAGGUUUUCAGGGUAAAGCUUGUCUUCCCUGAGUAAGCCGGGACCUAAGCCCAGGCUAUAAUGCGUAGGCGAAUGGAAAACAGAUUAAUAUUUCUGUGCCAGUCAUAUAUUGUGAUGGAGGGACGCAGAAGGGUAUGUGCGCGGACGAACGGAAGUGUCCGUAGAAGUAUGUAGGAUGACUUAGUAGGAAAAUCCAUUAAGUUAUAUCUGAGGUAUGAUAUAUAGUCGUAAGAUGAAUGCGCAAAUCCCACGCUGCCAAGAAAAGCUUCUAACGUUAAUUUAUGACUGCCCGUACUGCAAACCGACACAGGUGGUCAGGAUGAGAAAUCUAAGGCGGACAGGCUAACUCUCGUUAAGGAACUCUGCAAAAUAACCUCGUAACUUCGGGAGAAGAGGAGCCCUUGGGUGUUAGUAUCCAUGCGAUACAAAGCGCUCGAGGGUCGCAGUGAAGAGGCUCAAGCAACUGUUUAACAAAAACACAGGUCUAUGCUAAGCUGGAAGGCGAUGUAUAUGGGCUGACACCUGCCCAGUGCUGGAAGGUUAAGAGGAGGAGUGAGAGCUCCGAAUUGAAGCCCCAGUGAACGGCGGCCGUAACUAUAACGGUCCUAAGGUAGCGAAAUUCCUUGUCGGGUAAGUUCCGACCUGCACGAAUGGUGUAAUGAUUUGAGCGCUGUCUUGACGGGAGGCCUGGUGAAAUUGUAUUACCGGUGAAGAUACCGGUUACCUACAGUAGGACGGAAAGACCCCAUGGAGCUUUACUGUAGCUUGGUAUUGGGUUUUGGCAUUGCAUGUAUAGGAUAGUUGGGAGACUGAGAUGAUAUGGCGCUAGCUGUAUCGGAGUCAUCGGUGGAAUACCAACCAUUCAAUGCUGAAAUUCUAAUCUGUGGUUUGUAGCCACGGAGACAGUGCUAGGUGGGCAGUUUGACUGGGGCGGUCGCCUCCGAAAGAGUAACGGAGGCGUUCAAAGGUUCUCUCAGGUUGGAUGGAAAUCAACCAUAGAGUGCAAUGGCAUAAGAGAGCUUGACUGCAAGACUGACGGGUCGAGCAGAUGCGAAAGCAGGACAUAGUGAUCCGGCGAUUCCGAAUGGAAGGGUCGUCGCUCAACGGAUAAAAGCUACCCUGGGGAUAACAGGCUGAUCCUACCCGAGAGUCCAUAUCGACGGUAGGGUUUGGCACCUCGAUGUCGGCUCAUCGCAUCCUGGGGCUGGAGAAGGUCCCAAGGGUUGGGCUGUUCGCCCAUUAAAGCGGUACGUGAGCUGGGUUCAGAACGUCGUGAGACAGUUCGGUCCCUAUCCACUGUAGGCGUUAGAAUAUUGAGAAGACCUGUCCUUAGUACGAGAGGACCGGGAUGGACAAACCUCUGAUGUACCAGUUGUCACGCCAGUGGCACAGCUGGGUAGUCACGUUUGGAAUAGAUAACCGCUGAAAGCAUCUAAGCGGGAAACUAACUUCAAGAUAAGUAUUCUUUAAGAUACCUUCGAGCCUAGGAGGUUGAUAGGUUGGGGGUGUAAGUACAGUAAUGUAUUUAGCUGACCAAUACUAAUUAUCGAAGUUUUAAUCUAAUUUGUUUUUACUAUAUAGUUUC